Molecule: ribosomal RNA, 253 nt
Filed under: uncultured bacterium
Lineage: Bacteria
Description: partial 16S ribosomal RNA
Rfam family: Bacterial small subunit ribosomal RNA
Source: RNAcentral
UACGGAGGGUGCAAGCGUUAAUCGGAAUUACUGGGCGUAAAGCGCACGCAGGUGGCUGAGUCAGUCGAUUGUGAAAGCCCUGGGCUUAACCUGGGAAUUGCAGUCGAUACUACUCAGCUAGAGUAUGGGAGAGGGUAGUGGAAUUCCCGGCGUAGCGGUGAAAUGCGUAGAUAUCGGGAGGAACAUCAGUGGCGAAGGCGGCUACCUGGCCCAAUACUGACACUCAGGUGCGACAGCGUGGGGAGCAAACAGG